CAGACACUUGGAGAGGCAGUAGGAUGGUGACGUCUGCUGCCUCUCGGAGUGACAGGAUCAUGAGAACUGACUCGGUCACCUCAGGUAUGGAACGAAUCCCACUACAUUUCUUUGUGAUCUCUGGUAUCCAGUAGUCACCUCUGGGUCCGGGAACAGAGUGGUUAAGAGCAAAGGAAUGUGGCCAGAUGUUUAGAUGUGUUCCCUUUGUUCCACUCUGAGAGUCCCACGGCGCAGGAACUCCUCUUCAAAGCCUGUCCGCACACCAGCUUUCAAGGAGUAGGCAGGGCGGCACUUUAUCCUGUGCUGGUAGAAUAACCGAAUCCGACUCACUGGGCAGGAACCAGUCCCAGGCCAGCUCUGCAGGCAGAACCGGAACAACAGGGCCUCAUCUCCUUGCUGAUUUGGAA
This 407-nucleotide long non-coding RNA is filed under the name Ailuropoda melanoleuca (giant panda). RNAcentral's name for it is "lncRNA (ENSAMEG00000024367.1)". Lineage: Eukaryota; Metazoa; Chordata; Mammalia; Carnivora; Ursidae. The record is from RNAcentral.